CGAUACCUCUUGAUGCUUCUA
Molecule: non-coding RNA, 21 nt
Filed under: Arabidopsis thaliana (thale cress)
Lineage: Eukaryota; Viridiplantae; Streptophyta; Magnoliopsida; Brassicales; Brassicaceae
Source: RNAcentral